This 273-nucleotide long non-coding RNA is filed under the name Helianthus annuus (common sunflower). RNAcentral's name for it is "sRNA HanXRQr2_Chr05g0209291". The record is from RNAcentral. Lineage: Eukaryota; Viridiplantae; Streptophyta; Magnoliopsida; Asterales; Asteraceae.
AUCAAGGGUAAAUAAAGAAGCUAUGCACAACUCGGACACACGAUGUAUAUGAACACCGGGUUCUUGAAGUAUCGAAGUCGAACUCUGAAUAAGAAAAUACGAGAGGAUAGUUAAAUAAAUCAAAGUUUCAUUGUUAAAUGUUAUUCACUAUUAGAUUAUAUGAGAAUCAUGUUGUAUAACGUUGUCAAUGACUAAUGGUUAAGUUGUAUGUGAUAUUCACAUGUAUUGCACGUAUCUCUAGCACUACUAUCGAAGAUAAGCAUGCAUUGAUCG